RNAcentral lists this ribosomal RNA (334 nucleotides) under uncultured bacterium. RNAcentral's name for it is "bacterial SSU rRNA". It matches the Rfam family "Bacterial small subunit ribosomal RNA", at positions 568 to 898 of the family's 1533-position model. The record is from RNAcentral.
CGCGUAGGCGGCUUGUUAAGUCGGCUGUGAAAGCCCGGGGCUCAAACCCCGGAGGGUCGGCCGAUACUGGCGAGCUAGAGUACGGAAAAGGUAACUGGAAUUCCUGGUGUAGCGGUGAAAUGCGUAGAUAUCAGGAGGAACACCUGAGGCGAAGGCGGGUUACUGGGCCGAUACUGACGCUGAUGCGCGAAAGCCAGGGGAGCAAACGGGAUUAGAUACCCCGGUAGUCCUGGCCCUAAACGAUGGACACUUGGUGUGUCGGGUAUUAUGGUCCCGACGUGCCGGAGCUAACGCGUUAAGUGUCCCGCCUGGGGAGUACGGUCGCAAGGCUGAA